GUGGGGAAUAUUGGACAAUGGGGGGAACCCUGAUCCAGCCAUGCCGCGUGUGUGAAGAAGGCCUUUUGGUUGUAAAGCACUUUAAGCGAGGAGGAGGCUACCGAGAUUAAUACUCUUGGAUAGUGGACGUUACUCGCAGAAUAAGCACCGGCUAACUCUGUGCCAGCAGCCGCGGUAAUACAGAGGGUGCAAGCGUUAAUCGGAUUUACUGGGCGUAAAGCGCGCGUAGGUGGCCAAUUAAGUCAAAUGUGAAAUCCCCGAGCUUAACUUGGGAAUUGCAGUCGAGACUGGUUGGCUAGAGUAUGGGAGAGGAUGGUAGAAUUCCAGGUGUAGCGGUGAAAUGCGUAGAGAUCUGGAGGAAUACCGAUGGCGAAGGCAGCCAUCUGGCCUAAUACUGACACUGAGGUGCGAAAGCAUGGGGAGCAACCAGGAUUAGAUACCCGGGUAGUCC
This 451-nucleotide ribosomal RNA is filed under the name uncultured bacterium. RNAcentral describes it as "partial 16S ribosomal RNA". It matches the Rfam family "Bacterial small subunit ribosomal RNA", at positions 354 to 796 of the family's 1533-position model. The record is from RNAcentral.